Molecule: non-coding RNA, 21 nt
Filed under: Arabidopsis thaliana (thale cress)
Lineage: Eukaryota; Viridiplantae; Streptophyta; Magnoliopsida; Brassicales; Brassicaceae
Also listed under: 1 other name
Source: RNAcentral
GUCGGACCAGGCUUCAUUCCC